UGUCUUCAGGGUGGGGGUGAAAUUCCCCAACCGGCGGUAAUACGGGGAAUGUCCCCGAUUGAGCCCGCGAGCGCUGCGUUUUUUUAGCGCAGCCGCAGAGUCCGGUCAGAUUCCGGCGCCGACGGUACAGUCCGGAUGGAAGAGGAC
Molecule: non-coding RNA, 147 nt
Filed under: pig gut metagenome
Description: FMN riboswitch (RFN element)
Rfam family: FMN riboswitch aptamer (RFN element)
About the family: The RFN element is a highly conserved domain that is found frequently in the 5'-untranslated regions of prokaryotic mRNAs that encode for flavin mononucleotide (FMN) biosynthesis and transport proteins. This element is a metabolite-dependent riboswitch that directly binds FMN in the absence of proteins.
Source: RNAcentral